CAGCCCGUAAUUCCAGCUCCAAUAGCGUAUAUUAAAGUUGUUGCAGUUAAAAAGCUCGUAGUUGAAUUUCGGGAUCGACGGGUCGGUCGCGCCUCUGGUGUGUACUGGCCCUGUCGGUUUCUCCCUUCUGACGAACCACGAUGUCAUUAAUUUGGUGUCGUGGGAAAUCAGGACUGUUACUUUGAAAAAAUUAGAGUGUUUAAAGCAGGCAUUCGCUUGAAUACAUUAGCAUGGAAUAAUGAAAUAGGACGUUUGAUCUUAUUUUGUUGGUUUCUAAGAUCGACGUAAUGAUUAAUAGGGAUAGUUGGGGGCAUUAGUAUUCAAUUGUCAGAGGUGAAAUUCUUGGAUUUAUUGAAGACUAACUACUGCGAAAGCAUUUGCCAAGGAUGUUUUCAUUAAUCAAGAACGAAAGUUAGGGGAUCGAAGACGAUCAGAUACCGUCGUAGUCUUAACCAUAAACUAUGCCGACUAGGGAUCGGAUGAUGUUAAUUUUUUAAUGACUCAUUCGGCGCCUUACG
RNAcentral lists this unclassified non-coding RNA (518 nucleotides) under uncultured Glomeromycotina. RNAcentral describes it as "SSU rRNA". It matches the Rfam family "Eukaryotic small subunit ribosomal RNA", at positions 568 to 1092 of the family's 1831-position model. Lineage: Eukaryota; Fungi; Glomeromycota. The record is from RNAcentral.